GGGAAAGUAGCUCAGUGGUAGAGUGCUUGCCUUGCAUGCAUGAGGCCCUGGGUUUGAUUCCUCAGCACCA
Molecule: transfer RNA, 70 nt
Filed under: Dipodomys ordii (Ord's kangaroo rat)
Lineage: Eukaryota; Metazoa; Chordata; Mammalia; Rodentia; Heteromyidae
Rfam family: tRNA
About the family: Transfer RNA (tRNA) molecules are approximately 80 nucleotides in length. Their secondary structure includes four short double-helical elements and three loops (D, anti-codon, and T loops).
Source: Rfam by way of RNAcentral